RNAcentral lists this transfer RNA (87 nucleotides) under Candidatus Adlerbacteria bacterium RIFCSPLOWO2_01_FULL_51_16. RNAcentral describes it as "tRNA-Ser". It matches the Rfam family "tRNA". Rfam says of the family: Transfer RNA (tRNA) molecules are approximately 80 nucleotides in length. Their secondary structure includes four short double-helical elements and three loops (D, anti-codon, and T loops). Lineage: Bacteria; Candidatus Adleribacteriota. The record is from RNAcentral. RNAcentral also lists the same sequence under 2 other names.
GGAGAGGUGGCUGAGUGGUCGAAGGCACCGCACUCGAAAUGCGGCGUGGGGGAAACCUCACCGUGAGUUCGAAUCUCACCCUCUCCG